AACAGGUUCAAAAUUACCCAGUGUGCUUAGUGGUAGAGUCAGAACCAGAACACAGGCCUGCAAAGACUGCCUAAAAUUUGCCUCUUGACUUGACAGCCCCUCCAAUUGUAUAGGACCUUCACCCUGAAUGGGAUCCACUCACGACCCGACGUAGGCGUGAACAUCACACACAUGCAUCACUGGACUCAGCGCUCCUGUGACAGAUGUGGUUGCACCUGCCAUCCAGCAAGCUGCUCCUGGUUUCAAGAUAUCAUGAAGCCUGUGUGGAAACAAAUUAGUAGAUUGCUGUGAGCACACACACGUCAGAGCAAAGGGAGGUUGAUAGAAAUGGCAGGAUAUCUCUGGAAGCUAAACGAGUCAUUUCUAACUCAGAGUGGAGCACAACCCUUUGUAGGUUCUACUGUACUGAGCUGUCUUUGGAGGCCUCCAGUGAGCAACUAGGAAGUGGCCCAGCCCAGGGGGAAGAUUCAUGUGGUUUUGAUUAUCUGCGAAAAGGGCUGCUGGGACUCCUUCUAGAAGAAACUUACACCUGAAGCUUCAUGUUCUGGUUUUGGACGUCCCAACUGAACCAGCUGUGAUAUCUUUGGGAACAUUGAAGACCUGUGAAGAGCAAGAAGGUAUAACGCUUUUUAUCUAGACAUCUUAUGAAAUUGCAGAU
RNAcentral lists this long non-coding RNA (658 nucleotides) under Microcebus murinus (gray mouse lemur). Its description in RNAcentral is "lncRNA (ENSMICG00000048645.1)". Lineage: Eukaryota; Metazoa; Chordata; Mammalia; Primates; Cheirogaleidae. The record is from RNAcentral.